RNAcentral lists this microRNA precursor (116 nucleotides) under Brassica napus (rape). RNAcentral describes it as "MIR397 microRNA precursor family". It matches the Rfam family "MIR397 microRNA precursor family". The record is from Rfam by way of RNAcentral. Lineage: Eukaryota; Viridiplantae; Streptophyta; Magnoliopsida; Brassicales; Brassicaceae.
AGUAACUCUAUUAUAGAGUGAACCAUUGGAGCAAAUUUAACUCUAUAAUAGAGUUACUCUAUUUUAGCUAUUAUAGAGUUAAAUUUGCUCCAAUGGUUCACUCUAUAAUAGAGUUA